Molecule: ribosomal RNA, 445 nt
Filed under: uncultured bacterium
Lineage: Bacteria
Description: bacterial SSU rRNA
Rfam family: Bacterial small subunit ribosomal RNA
Source: RNAcentral
GUAGGGAAUAUUGGUCAAUGGAGGCAACUCUGAACCAGCCAUCCCGCGUGAAGGAUGACGGUCCUCUGGAUUGUAAACUUCUUUUCUCAGGGAAGAAACGUUCCGAUUCAUCGGAACCUGACGGUACCUGAGGAAUAAGCACCGGCUAACUCCGUGCCAGCAGCCGCGGUAAUACGGAGGGUGCAAGCGUUAUCCGGAUUUACUGGGUUUAAAGGGUGCGCAGGCGGAAUGGUAAGUCAGUGGUGAAAUCCUACAGCUUAACUGUAGAACUGCCGUUGAUACUGUCAUUCUUGAGUACAUUUGAAGUGGGCGGAAUGUAUCAUGUAGCGGUGAAAUGCAUAGAUAUGAUACAGAACACCGAUAGCGAAAGCAGCUCACUAAACUGUAACUGACGCUCAUGCACGAAAGCGUGGGGAGCAAACAGGAUUAGAAACCCGAGUAGUCC